AGCGAACGCUGGCGGCAGGCCUAACACAUGCAAGUCGAACGAACUCUUCGGAGUUAGUGGCGGACGGGUGAGUAACACGUGGGAACGUGCCUUUAGGUUCGGAAUAACUCAAGGAAACUUGUGCUAAUACCGAAUGUGCCCUUCGGGGGAAAGAUUUAUCGCCUUUAGAGCGGCCCGCGUCUGAUUAGCUAGUUGGUGAGGUAAAGGCUCACCAAGGCGACGAUCAGUAGCUGGUCUGAGAGGAUGAUCAGCCACAUUGGGACUGAGACACGGCCCAAACUCCUACGGGAGGCAGCAGUGGGGAAUCUUGCGCAAUGGGCGAAAGCCUGACGCAGCCAUGCCGCGUGAAUGAUGAAGGUCUUAGGAUUGUAAAAUUCUUUCACCGGGGACGAUAAUGACGGUACCCGGAGAAGAAGCCCCGGCUAACUUCGUG
This 433-nucleotide ribosomal RNA is filed under the name uncultured bacterium. Its description in RNAcentral is "partial 16S ribosomal RNA". It matches the Rfam family "Bacterial small subunit ribosomal RNA", at positions 29 to 507 of the family's 1533-position model. The record is from RNAcentral.